RNAcentral lists this ribosomal RNA (468 nucleotides) under uncultured bacterium. RNAcentral describes it as "partial 16S ribosomal RNA". It matches the Rfam family "Bacterial small subunit ribosomal RNA", at positions 28 to 507 of the family's 1533-position model. The record is from RNAcentral.
GACGAACGCUGGCGGCGUGCUUAACACAUGCAAGUCGAACGGAAAGGCCCUGCUUUUGUGGGGUGCUCGAGUGGCGAACGGGUGAGUAACACGUGAGUAACCUGCCCUUGACUUUGGGAUAACUUCAGGAAACUGGGGCUAAUACCGGAUAGGAGCUCCUGCUGCAUGGUGGGGGUUGGAAAGUUUCGGCGGUUGGGGAUGGACUCGCGGCUUAUCAGCGUGUUGGUGGGGUAGUGCCUUACCAAGGCUUUGACGGGUAGCCGGCCUGAGAGGGUGACCGGCCACAUUGGGACGGAGAUACGGCCCAGACUCCUACGGGGGGCAGCAGUGGGGAAUAUUGCACAAUGGGCGGAAGCCUGAUGCAGCAACGCCGCGUGCGGGAUGACGGCCUUCGGGCUGUAAACCGCUUUGGCCUGUGCCGAAGCGUGAGUGACGGUAAUGGGUAAAGAAGCACCGGCUAACUACGUG